RNAcentral lists this ribosomal RNA (253 nucleotides) under uncultured bacterium. Its description in RNAcentral is "partial 16S ribosomal RNA". It matches the Rfam family "Bacterial small subunit ribosomal RNA", at positions 524 to 776 of the family's 1533-position model. The record is from RNAcentral.
UACGGGGGGGGUAAGCGUUGUUCGGAAUUACUGGGCGUAAAGGGCUCGUAGGCGGCCAACUAAGUCAUACGUGAAAUCCCUCAGCUUAACUGGGGAACUGCGUGUGAUACUGGAUGGCUUGGAUUUGGGAGAGGGAUGCGGAAUUCCAGGUGUAGCGGUGAAAUGCGUAGAUAUCUGGAGGAACACCGGUGGCGAAGGCGGUUCUCUGGGCCUGACCUGACGCUGAGGAGCGAAAGCGUGGGGAGCGAACAGG